AUGCUAAAUGUGAAUUUUCCUUUUCAGCACCCUCACUGCUUUGGAAACAGCCUGCUCCAGAUUACAGGGAAACAUCAGAGAGGGAAUUUCACUUGUGCAGAACUGGGACAAUCUGCUGGCUGUGAGGAGCUCCUGGAUGAUGUUUGUGCCUGGAGACGGCAGAGGUGUUUUGUGUCCCUCUCCCCGUGCUGGGCUGUGCUCCUGUGCCACCCCAGAACAGGAAUUUCAGCUGGAACCUCUUUUGUGCAGCCCACUGCCCAGGGCUGCUGCACUCUGGGGCUGCAGGUGGAGAAGGAGCCAGGAGGAAGCAGAAAAAGCAGCAGAAAUCCCCAGGAACCAGAGGAUGUCCUCCCUGCUCAGCUGAGGGGAGCUAUGAUCCUGCUGACAGAACUUUUGUCUCAGCAGGUGGAAGGAACACAGAAAAUAGGCCAGGCCAUGACCGAGUCUGAUGAUCUGUGCUUCAGAUCUGUCCUUUUUGAAGAUGGGUUUUAGAAAUUCACUUCCAGCCAUCCAGACAUCCCUUUCUACCCCUUUGAAGAGAGGUGCUAGGCAGAUGAAGAUGCCUGAAAAGGACUUUAGUAGUGGUUUGUAUCACUCAGCAAUGCUGGCAUAAAUCAGAUUAUUGCUGUAGACAUCAGUGUUUGAAGGGCACUGACAGCAGAGUUUCAAAGGGAGGUGAUUUGCAUCACCAGAAAAAGAUGUUUUCCCUCUCUUUGGGUAGAUGUGUGUUUACUGCAGCCCUGCACUUUUCACCUGGAGCUGCUCUGAGCUGGCUGCAGCCCCUGGAUGUUUCUCCAUGGCAUGAAUCAUUGGAGAGAUUUGAGAUACAGCUGUUAUCAAACCCCCACACUUCAGAUGGGUUUCAGUUGGCGUGGAGCUGUUUUACCAGUUUAAUCUGCACGGGAGAAACUCUCCUGUUGCUUGUGAAACACUCUGAAAUCCUCCGGCAGUGUUGCAGGGAGAGAGAGCACAAGGGUGAUGAGCAAAGUGCUUCUGAGAACCAGAUAAUCUGUCCUGGCCACGGACAUAUUUUCUGAAAAAUCCUUUUGCUAGGUUUCUUCUCCUCAGAAACCAAAUAUAAGCAAUGGUUAUC
RNAcentral lists this long non-coding RNA (1093 nucleotides) under Junco hyemalis (dark-eyed junco). RNAcentral's name for it is "lncRNA (ENSJHYG00000006022.1)". The record is from RNAcentral. Lineage: Eukaryota; Metazoa; Chordata; Aves; Passeriformes; Passerellidae.